RNAcentral lists this ribosomal RNA (407 nucleotides) under uncultured bacterium. RNAcentral describes it as "partial 16S ribosomal RNA". It matches the Rfam family "Bacterial small subunit ribosomal RNA", at positions 30 to 526 of the family's 1533-position model. The record is from RNAcentral.
AUUGAACGCUGGCGGCAGGCCUAACACAUGCAAGUCGAGCGGAGCGGCGGACGGGUGAGUAAUGCCUAGGAAUCUGCCUGGUAGUGGGGGAUAACGUCCGGAAACGGGCGCUAAUACCGCAUACUAUCAGAUGAGCCUAGGUCGGAUUAGCUGGUUGGUGGGGUAAAGGCCUACAAAGGCGACGAUCCGUAACUGGUCUGAGAGGAGGAUCAGUCAACCUGGAACUGAGACACGGUCCGAACUCCUACGGGAGUCAGGAGUGGGGAAUAUUGGGAAAUGGGCGAAAGCCUGAGGCAGCCAUGCCGCGUGGAUGAAGAGGGCCUUCUGGUUGUAAAGUCCUUUCAGCGGGGAGGCGUUACCCGCAGAAGAAGCACCGGCUAACUCCGUGCCAGCAGCCGCGGUAAUUC